GGAAUUUUCCGCAAUGGGCGAAAGCCUGACGGAGCAAUACCGCGUGAGGGAUGACGGCCUGUGGGUUGUAAACCUCUUUUCUCAAGGAAGAAGUUCUGACGGUACUUGAGGAAUAAGCAUCGGCUAACUCUGUGCCAGCAGCCGCGGUAAUACAGAGGAUGCAAGCGUUAUCCGGAAUCACUGGGCAUAAAGCGUCUGUAGGUGGUUUGGUAAGUCUGCUGUUAAAGACUGGGGCUCAACCCCAGAAAAGCAGUGGAAACUGCCAGACUUGAGUGUGGUAGAGGUAGAGGGAAUUCCUAGUGUAGCGGUGAAAUGCGUAGAUAUUAGGAAGAACACCAAUGGCGAAGGCACUCUACCGGGCCAUAACUGACACUGAGAGACGACAGCUAGGGGAGCAAAUGGGAUUAGAUACCCCAGUAGUC
Molecule: ribosomal RNA, 422 nt
Filed under: uncultured eukaryotic phytoplankton
Lineage: Eukaryota
Description: bacterial SSU rRNA
Rfam family: Bacterial small subunit ribosomal RNA
Source: RNAcentral